RNAcentral lists this ribosomal RNA (119 nucleotides) under Octopus vulgaris (common octopus). The record is from RNAcentral. RNAcentral also lists the same sequence under 1 other name. Lineage: Eukaryota; Metazoa; Mollusca; Cephalopoda; Octopoda; Octopodidae.
UCUUACGGCCAUAUCACGUUGAAAGCACCGGUUCUCGUCUGAUCACCGAAGUUAAGCAACAUCGAGCCUAGUUAGUACUUAGAUGGGUGACCGCUUGGGAAACCUAGGUGCUGUAAGCA